GAUCCUGGCUUAGGAUGAACGCUAGCGGCAGGCCUAAUACAUGCAAGUCGUACGGUAAAGUCCCCUUCGGGGGAUUGAGAGUGGCGGACGGGUGCGUAACGCGUAUGCAACCCACCCCCGACGGGCGGAUAGCCGGUGGAAACGCCGGAUAACCCGCCAUGCGGCCCCACAGGGGCAUCCCUGUGGAGUCAAAGCGGCGACGCGGUCGGGGACGGGCAUGCGUCCCAUUAGAUGGUUGGCGGUGCAAUGGACCACCAAGUCUACGAUGGGUAGGGGAUCUGAGAGGACGGUCCCCCACACUGGUACUGAGACACGGACCAGACUCCUGCGGGAGGCAGCAGUAAGGGAUAUUGGGCAAUGGGGGCAACCCUGACCCAGCCAUGCCGCGUGAGGGAAUGAGGCCCUACGGGUCGUGAACCUCUUUUGUCCGGGGACAAGGACAGUGUCGCGAACACUGUUUGAGGGUACCGAAAGAAUAAGCGUCGGCUAACUCCGUGCCAGCCGCGGC
RNAcentral lists this ribosomal RNA (508 nucleotides) under uncultured bacterium. RNAcentral's name for it is "bacterial SSU rRNA". It matches the Rfam family "Bacterial small subunit ribosomal RNA", at positions 15 to 518 of the family's 1533-position model. The record is from RNAcentral.